GUCUAUGGCCAUGCUACCCUGAACACGCCCAAUCUCAUCUGAUCUCAGAAGCUAAGCAGGGUCAGCCUGGUUAGCACUUGGAUGGGAGACCACCUAGGAAGACCAGGUGCUAUAUAUA
RNAcentral lists this ribosomal RNA (118 nucleotides) under Pteropus alecto (black flying fox). The record is from RNAcentral. Lineage: Eukaryota; Metazoa; Chordata; Mammalia; Chiroptera; Pteropodidae.